Molecule: unclassified non-coding RNA, 256 nt
Filed under: Trimorphomycetaceae sp.
Lineage: Eukaryota; Fungi; Basidiomycota; Tremellomycetes; Tremellales; Trimorphomycetaceae
Description: partial contains 5.8S ribosomal RNA, internal transcribed spacer 2, and large subunit ribosomal RNA
Rfam family: 5.8S ribosomal RNA (bases 1-50)
Source: RNAcentral
CGCAACUUGCGCCCUCUGGUAUUCCGGAGGGCAUGCCUGUUUGAGUGUCAUGUAGCCUCAAUCCCCCGGGUUUCCGGGAAGAUUGGACUUGGGUGUCUGCCGUUUCACACGGCUCGCCUUAAAUGACUUAGUGGACGAAUUGAUGUAAAUCAAGAGUAAUAAGUUUCUUUUGAUGAAAUCGAUUUACCGCUCAUAACCUGCUUCGGCACUUUAUGACUCUGACCUCAAAUCAGGUAGGACUACCCGCUGAACUUAA